RNAcentral lists this ribosomal RNA (579 nucleotides) under uncultured bacterium. RNAcentral's name for it is "bacterial SSU rRNA". The stretch from base 1 to 518 matches the Rfam family "Bacterial small subunit ribosomal RNA", at positions 338 to 873 of the family's 1533-position model. The record is from RNAcentral.
CCUACGGGAGGCAGCAGUGGGGAAUAUUGGACAAUGGGCGAAAGCCUGAUCCAGCAAUGCCGCGUGAGUGAUGAAGGCCUUAGGGUUGUAAAGCUCUUUUACCAGGGAUGAUAAUGACAGUACCUGGAGAAUAAGCUCCGGCUAACUCCGUGCCAGCAGCCGCGGUAAUACGGAGGGAGCUAGCGUUGUUCGGAAUUACUGGGCGUAAAGCGUACGUAGGCGGUUAUUCAAGUCAGAGGUGAAAGCCCGGGGCUCAACCCCGGAACUGCCUUUGAAACUAGAUAGCUAGAAUCUUGGAGAGGUUAGUGGAAUUCCGAGUGUAGAGGUGAAAUUCGUAGAUAUUCGGAAGAACACCAGUGGCGAAGGCGACUAACUGGACAAGUAUUGACGCUGAGGUACGAAAGCGUGGGGAGCAAACAGGAUUAGAUACCCUGGUAGUCCACGCCGUAAACGAUGAUAACUAGUUGUUCGGGCACUUGGUGCCUGAGUGACGCAGCUAACGCAUUAAGUUAUCCGCCUGGGGAGUAGUCGCAGAUAAAUAAAUANAUANAGNNGAGANGCGAGACGACACGAGGAGAG